CAGCAUGUCUCCAAGGGCUGUGACAGCUGAUGGCCACGGGUUCUCCCACUCCAUGCGAGAGCAACGUGGAGGGACUUUGACCCCCAGAUCACACCGUACCCGCAGCUUCCAGUCACCUUUCCUAUAAAC
Tupaia belangeri (northern tree shrew) is the source of this 129-nucleotide small nucleolar RNA. NCBI's taxonomy places the organism in Eukaryota, Metazoa, Chordata, Mammalia, Scandentia, Tupaiidae. The record is from Ensembl.